GUCCUGGCUGUAAACGAUGGGCACUAGGUGUGGGGGGAUCGACCCCUUCCGUGCCGCAGUUAACGCAUUAAGUGCCCCGCCUGGGGAGUACGACCGCAAGGUUGAAACUCAAAGGAAUUGACGGGGGCCCGCACAAGCGGUGGAGCAUGUGGUUUAAUUCGAUGAUACGCGAAGAACCUUACCGGGGCUUGACAUGCAGCAGAACAUUUGUGGAAACACGGAUGGUCCCUCACGGGACUGUUGCACAGGUGCUGCAUGGCUGUCGU
This 266-nucleotide ribosomal RNA is filed under the name uncultured bacterium. RNAcentral describes it as "partial 16S ribosomal RNA". It matches the Rfam family "Bacterial small subunit ribosomal RNA", at positions 793 to 1055 of the family's 1533-position model. The record is from RNAcentral.